UGAAUUGCUGGAAAAGUAACGCAUUGCAUUCUUGCAGGCAAGACUGUCUUCAUGGAUCAUCUCUUCUGAAUACAAGUGGUUAUUCAUGGCCCUCCAGGGACUAGAACUUACAAAACAGCAUUUUGCUCAUCUAAAUAUUAUUUGCUAGAAAUCAUGUAAAGCAAUAUCUGAAACCCUAAAAGUCCUGCUCAAGUUACAACAACUGAAACUGAAACAAAAUUUAAAUGUGAUGUGUCCUGAAAAUUCUUUUCCUGUGAUGGAAGCCAGUGAACCUGAAAUCUAUUCCAUGGGUAGUGUGGGUUAAGCUCCUUUCUUCAGCUUCAAGAACCUCCUAAGAACUUGACCAGUAACAUUUUCUCUUCAUGAGCCAGCCAGGAGAUAAAAGGAGGUAUCAUGACUUUGGUAAUUUUAGCUGAAGAAUUUUUUUGUUUGUUUGUUUCCUCACU
Molecule: long non-coding RNA, 446 nt
Filed under: Fukomys damarensis (Damara mole-rat)
Lineage: Eukaryota; Metazoa; Chordata; Mammalia; Rodentia; Bathyergidae
Description: lncRNA (ENSFDAG00000024887.1)
Source: RNAcentral